GACGAACGCUGGCGGCGUGCUUAACACAUGCAAGUCGAACGGAAAGGCCCUGCUUUUGUGGGGUGCUCGAGUGGCGAACGGGUGUGUAACAUGUGAGUCACCUGCCCUUGACUUGGGGAUAACUUCAGAAAACUGGGGCUAAUACCGGAAUGGAGCUCCGGCGGAAUGGUGGGGGUUGGAAGGUUUCGGCGGUUGGGGAUGGACUCGCGGCUUAUCUGCUUGUUGGUGGGGUAGUGGGUUACCAAGACUUUGAGGGGUCGCCGGGCUGAGAGGGUGACCGGCCACAUUGGGAGUGAGAUACGGCCCAGACACCUACGGGAGGCGGCAGUGUGGAAAAUAGCACAAUGGGCGGAAGACUGAUGUAGCAACGCCGCGUGCGGGAUGACGGCCUUCGGGGUGUAAACCGUGUUCGCCUGUGACGAAGAGUGAGUGACGGUAAUGGGUAAAGAAGCACCGGCUAACUACGUG
RNAcentral lists this ribosomal RNA (468 nucleotides) under uncultured bacterium. RNAcentral describes it as "partial 16S ribosomal RNA". It matches the Rfam family "Bacterial small subunit ribosomal RNA", at positions 28 to 507 of the family's 1533-position model. The record is from RNAcentral.